AUGAGCCGGAAGGAGGCGGAGGCGGGGGGAGGGGAGGGCUCGUCGUCGCGGGCGGAGGGGGGCGGGGAGCUGGCGGAGGCGCUGGCGCGGCGGCGGCUGUACCGGGAGGUGACGCUGGCGCUGCGGGCCGGGCUGCGCGACGCCGGGGCCGACUUCUCCUUCCUCCGCGCGCGGGGGCUCCGCGGCCUGCUCGGCUUCCUCCGCGCCACCGCCGCCGCGCCCGACGACUCGCAGCAGCAGCUGCUCCUCUUCCGCCACUCCCAGUCCAUCCCCGAUCUCCAAGUUAUUCCAGUUCUCUUUCAGAAUUCAUUGCAUCAACCAAAGGAUACCGUUGCGACACUGGAUCAUAUAUUUGGAGUCGAACCAACGAAGAUUACGAGCCCCUCAACAGAUUCCGAAAUUGCUCUAGCUCUUCGAGUUUUGGAAGGUUGCUGCCUUUUGUAUAGCAGAUGCACUGCUCUGGCCCACAAGUACAAGGCUGUGCAGGUACUGCUGAAUAUAUUAGCCAGCCGAGGUCCAACUGAGCAAGGGGUGUGCUUAGAUGCUCUCAUAUCGUUGAUGUUGGAUUCACCUUCGAAUCAGAUUGACUUUGAGGAAUACAGUGGACUUGAAAAGGUUGCUGAGCUUUUGAAGGAUGUUCAAGUGGAAGAACACAUAAGGUUGAAAUGCGGGGAAUUCCUACUGUUGCUCAUCGGCCAUGUUUAUGUGAAGGAAAACACUCCCAUACAUGAACAGAUGAGAAACCUACUCGGGGAGCAGUGCGCGUCGCUCAUAUGGGCAGCGAGCCGGUUUGGAUCCACCCUCGACGCGGAUCAGAGGCAGAUGGCCCUGCAAAUACAAGCGAGGAGAGUCGUUGAAUCCUUGGAGCCCUACUAG
Molecule: ribosomal RNA, 876 nt
Filed under: Triticum aestivum (bread wheat)
Lineage: Eukaryota; Viridiplantae; Streptophyta; Magnoliopsida; Poales; Poaceae
Description: partial small subunit ribosomal RNA
Source: RNAcentral